AACGAACGCUGGCUGCAUGCCUAACACAUGCAAGUCGAACGAGACCUUCGGGUCUAGUGGCGCACGGGUGCGUCACGCGUGGGAACCUGCCCUUAGGUUCGGAAUAACUCCCUGAAAGUGGUGCUUAUACCGGCUAAUGUCUUCGGACCAAAGCUUUAGCGCCUUUGGAUGGGCCCGCGUUGGAUUAGCUAGUUCGUAGGGUAAAAGCCUACCAAGGCGACGUUCCAUAGCUGGUCUGAGAGGAUGAUCAGCCACACUGGGACUGAGACACGGCCCAGACUCCUACGGGAGGCAGCAGGGGGGAAUAUUAGACAAUGGGCGAAAGCCUGAUCCAGCAAUGCCGCGUGAGUGAUGAAGGUCUUAGGGGUGUAAAGCUCUUUGACCCGGGAUGAUAAUGACAGUACCGGGAGAAUAAGCGCCGGCUAACUCCGUG
This 433-nucleotide ribosomal RNA is filed under the name uncultured bacterium. RNAcentral's name for it is "partial 16S ribosomal RNA". It matches the Rfam family "Bacterial small subunit ribosomal RNA", at positions 29 to 507 of the family's 1533-position model. The record is from RNAcentral.